GCCCAAGUUCCUGUCUCCAGCCCACGAUUUGCUGAUCCAUCUGUCUUCCUCAGAGAGAGAGGGCGGAUAAUGCAGACUGCGCUUCCUUGGAAGACGGCAGGCUCCAGGCCAGAUAAACGAAUGUAUCAACCAUAUAGAUGAAGAGCUGAGGCUCAGGGAAGGAACUUGCCAAGGUCACGAAGCUGUAAGACACAGAGCCUGGGGUGUCUGCCUGCAGAGCUCACACUGACUCUACAGCCACUGAUCCAAAGCUUCAGCAAGGGGGUCUUUCUAGCAGGGCUCCCCCAGGAUGAGCAAGAGAUGAAGUGACCCUCCAACCCCACAGCUCAGAGUCUUUCUUGAAGCUCCAACUCCAGGGCCAUUGUUUUCGUGUUCUCCCCACUCCAAGGCCUCUCCUCUGUCCUUGGCCCAACUCUCUGACCAUGAUGCAGGCUCAUGGAUUAGUGGGUUACCAUGGGAGCGGAACUGGCGGCUUUAUAAGAGGAGGAAGAGAGACCUGGGCUAGUACAUUAAGAUUCUCAGCCCCCUUACCAUGUGAUGACCUGUGCCACCUGGGGACACUGCAGAGUCCCCACCAGCAAGAAGGCUCUCACCAGACUUAGCCCGUCAACACUGGAC
Molecule: long non-coding RNA, 618 nt
Organism: Symphalangus syndactylus (siamang)
Lineage: Eukaryota; Metazoa; Chordata; Mammalia; Primates; Hylobatidae
Source: RefSeq, a predicted model, not a curated record